GAUUCCUACGGAAGGCAGCAGUGGGGAAUAUUGGACAAUGGGGGAAACCCUGAUCCAGCGACGCCGCGUGUGUGAAGAAGGCCUGCGGGUUGUAAAGCACUUUCAGUAGAGAAGAAAAGCUUAAGGCUAAUAUCCUUGAGUCUUGACGUAACCUACGGAAGAAGCACCGGCUAACUCCGUGCCAGCAGCCGCGGUAAUAAU
RNAcentral lists this ribosomal RNA (201 nucleotides) under uncultured bacterium. RNAcentral describes it as "partial 16S ribosomal RNA". It matches the Rfam family "Bacterial small subunit ribosomal RNA", at positions 334 to 526 of the family's 1533-position model. The record is from RNAcentral.